UACAGGGGGGGCAAGCGUUGUUCGGAAUUACUGGGCGUAAAGGGUUCGUAGGUGGCCACUUAAGUCAGACGUGAAAUCCCUCAGCUUAACUGGGGAACUGCGUCUGAUACUGAGUGGCUUGAGUGCAGGAGAGGAAUGCGGAAUUCCAGGUGUAGCGGUGAAAUGCGUAGAUAUCUGGAGGAACACCGGUGGCGAAGGCGGCAUCCUGGACCGGCAUUGACGCUGAGGCGCGAAAGCCAGGGGAGCAAACGGG
RNAcentral lists this ribosomal RNA (253 nucleotides) under uncultured bacterium. RNAcentral describes it as "partial 16S ribosomal RNA". It matches the Rfam family "Bacterial small subunit ribosomal RNA", at positions 524 to 776 of the family's 1533-position model. The record is from RNAcentral.